UAGGGAAUAUUGCACAAUGGGCGAAAGCCUGAUGCAGCAACGCCGCGUGCGCGAUGACGGCCUUCGGGUUGUAAAGCGCUUUUCGGGGAGAUGAGGAAGGACAGUAUCCCCGGAAUAAGGCUCGGCUAACUACGUGCCAGCAGCCGCGGUAACACGUAGGAGCCAAGCGUUAUCCGAAUUCACUGGGCGUAAAGCGCGUGUAGGCGGCUUAUUAAGUUGGAUGUGAAAGCUCCUGGCUCAACUGGGAGAGGACGUUCAAAACUAAUAGGCUAGAGGGCGACAGAGGGAGGUGGAAUUCCCGGUGUAGUGGUGAAAUGCGUAGAUAUCGGGAGGAACACCAGUGGCGAAGGCGGCCUCCUGGGUCGCACCUGACGCUCAGACGCGAAAGCUAGGGGAGCGAACGG
Molecule: ribosomal RNA, 404 nt
Filed under: uncultured bacterium
Lineage: Bacteria
Description: bacterial SSU rRNA
Rfam family: Bacterial small subunit ribosomal RNA
Source: RNAcentral